RNAcentral lists this ribosomal RNA (495 nucleotides) under uncultured bacterium. RNAcentral's name for it is "partial 16S ribosomal RNA". It matches the Rfam family "Bacterial small subunit ribosomal RNA", at positions 28 to 507 of the family's 1533-position model. The record is from RNAcentral.
GACGAACGCUGGCGGCGUGCCUAAUACAUGCAAGUAGAACGCUGAAGGAGGAGAUUGCUUCUCUGGAUGAGUUGCGAACGGGUGAGUAACGCGUAGGUAACCUGCCUGGUAGCGGGGGAUAACUAUUGGAAACGAUAGCUAAUACCGCAUAAGAGUAGAUGUUGCAUGACAUUUGCUUAAAAGGUGCAAUUGCAUAACUACCAGAUGGACCUGCGUUGUAUUAGCUAGUUGGUGGGGUAACGGCUCACCAAGGCGACGAUACAUAGCCGACCUGAGAGGGGGAUCGGCCACACUGGGACUGAGACACGGCCCAGACUCCUACGGGAGGCAGCAGGAGGGAAUCUUCGGCAAUGGACGGAAGUCUGAACGAGCAACGCCGCGUGAGUGAAGAAGGGUUUCGGAUCGUAAAGAUCUGUUGUAAGAGAAGAACGAGUGUGAGAGUUGAAAGUUCACACUGUGACGGUAUCUUACCAGAAAGGGACGGCUAACUACGUG